CGGAGGGUGCAAGCGUUAUCCGGAUUCACUGGGUUUAAAGGGAGCGCAGGCGGACCUGUAGGUCAGUGGUGAAAUACCUGAGCUUAACUCGGGAACUGCCAUUGAUACUAUCGGUCUUGAAUGUUGUUGAGGUUUGCGGAAUGGGUCAUGUAGCGGUGAAAUGCAUAGAUAUGACCCGGAACACCUAUUGCGAAGGCAGCAGGCUAAACAAAUAUUGACGCUGAGGCUCGAAAGCGUGGGGAUCAAACAGGAUUAGAUACCCUGGUAGUCCACGCCCUAAACGAUGAUUACUCGACAUACGCGAUACACUGUGUGUGUCUGAGCGAAAGCAUUAAGUAAUCCACCUGGGAAGUACGACCGCAAGGUUG
RNAcentral lists this ribosomal RNA (368 nucleotides) under uncultured organism. Its description in RNAcentral is "bacterial SSU rRNA". It matches the Rfam family "Bacterial small subunit ribosomal RNA", at positions 526 to 896 of the family's 1533-position model. The record is from RNAcentral.